AGUGACAUGGAAGAGGAACAGCUCCGUCCAAUUACCCAGCUUGACCUUCUGCUUGCCCUAGAAAAGAUGAAAGAGUCCAAGGAAGUGGAAACAGCCAUGCCAACUCUGAAAGAACUUGCUUUAGACUGAACUUCUGGCCUAAGACACUCACUAAUGAACAAGCAGCAAAGAAUUGAGAGAGAUUUUUAAUUGUAUGGCCAUGCCAGCAUCUCUAGAGCCUUGUUUUUUCAGUACCACUCAUUUUGAGAAGCGACAGCAAAAGCAGAUAAACCCUUCUGCAGUUUUGUCUUUAAGCUGUAAGAGAUUAUAAAUAAAGCAUUCAAAUGCUUAAA
This is a long non-coding RNA of Sphaerodactylus townsendi, 332 nucleotides long. RefSeq lists it as uncharacterized. The record is from RefSeq and is a predicted model, not a curated record. NCBI's taxonomy places the organism in Eukaryota, Metazoa, Chordata, Lepidosauria, Squamata, Sphaerodactylidae. The transcript is spliced from 2 exons.